AGAGGUUUAGGUUAACAGAAGACCAAGGGCCUUCAAAGUCCUAAGUGGGGGUGAAAAUCCCCCAACCUCUG
Molecule: transfer RNA, 71 nt
Filed under: Hypoplectrus floridae
Lineage: Eukaryota; Metazoa; Chordata; Actinopteri; Perciformes; Serranidae
Description: tRNA-Trp
Rfam family: tRNA
About the family: Transfer RNA (tRNA) molecules are approximately 80 nucleotides in length. Their secondary structure includes four short double-helical elements and three loops (D, anti-codon, and T loops). Further hydrogen bonds mediate the characteristic L-shaped molecular structure. tRNAs have two regions of fundamental functional importance: the anti-codon, which is responsible for specific mRNA codon recognition, and the 3' end, to which the tRNAs corresponding amino acid is attached (by aminoacyl-tRNA synthetases). tRNAs cope with the degeneracy of the genetic code in two manners: having more than one tRNA (with a specific anti-codon) for a particular amino acid; and 'wobble' base-pairing, i.e. permitting non-standard base-pairing at the 3rd anti-codon position.
Source: RNAcentral